Molecule: ribosomal RNA, 414 nt
Filed under: uncultured bacterium
Lineage: Bacteria
Description: bacterial SSU rRNA
Rfam family: Bacterial small subunit ribosomal RNA
Source: RNAcentral
UGAGGAAUAUUGCGCAAUGGGCGAAAGCCUGACGCAGCGACGCCGCGUGGGGGAUGAAGGCCUUCGGGUUGUAAACCCCUGUCAGGAGGGACGAAGCGGCUUCGCGCCGUGACGGUACCUCGGUAGGAAGCCCCGGCCAACUACGUGCCAGCAGCCGCGGUAAGACGUAGGGGGCGAGCGUUGUCCGGAAUUACUGGGCGUAAAGAGCUCGUAGGCGGCCUGUUAAGUCGGAUGUGAAAGCCCCCGGCUCAACCGGGGAAUUGCAUCCGAUACUGGCAGGCUAGAGUCUGGUAGAGGGAGGUGGAAUUCCCGGUGUAGCGGUGAAAUGCGCAGAUAUCGGGAGGAACACCGGUGGCGAAGGCGGCCUCCUGGGCCACGACUGACGCUGAGGAGCGAAAGCUGGGGGAGCGAACA